AGGCAGAGGGCCUCCUUACAAAGAGGCCCGUAUUUCCUGCAGUGGGACGACUCACACAGCUGCACACUGGACUGAGGACCUGAGAGUCACAGAACUUCAGAGAUGUUUACAUAUUCAGUCAAGGCAGGUCUGCCACGCUGCUAAGGUCGUUGCCCUGGCUGGGGAAACACGGCCCCCAAGCAUGGGAUGGGGACAUCCGGCUGGAAGAUGUCUGAGGAUCCUGGCUCUGCAAGACGCCCCUAAUCCCUCAGAACUUGCAGAAGUGGCCCUGUCCCUCUGCCGAAACAGACCGCAGGGGCCUCCAUCCUGCAAGACAAGGCGUCCCCCUCAGGAGCUGCCAGGCUGAGAACUGGGGCUCCAUCCGCACAUCAUAUGGCUGCACACAGACGGCACCUGAUCACGGAGGAAACUGACUAUAUUCCAAAGGAGUUGCCAGAACUAGCCAGCGUGUUCCAGCAGGAGCUAGGAGAGUAUCUCUGGGUUUGAAUUUCGAGAGGCUUGGUCAAGGGGCCUAGAACAUGAGAUUGGAAAAGCAAGAACUCCUCUGUUUGGAGCACUUUACGGGACUUAACACCCCAGCGAGGCCUCCGGGGCGGGGGUGGGGGGUGGGUGGCAAACUUCUGCUGAGGUGGCUCUCAGAAGCCAGGAAGCGCCGUAGCCAACGCUGAGGGAGGUGAAAAUGCCUGAGUCGCCCCAACAGAUGGUCCAGGAAGGAAUGAAGAGCCUGAGGGGAAUGGUCAUGCUGGAAAUGGCUGCACCAGUUUGUGUGGAAAGCAUAUCUGAUAUGAGGCCAGAAGACCCACCAGAGGUGUUCCAGGGAGGGCCCUGGGAUUACACUGAAGGCAUCAGGAUGCACUGGUGAGAAGCAGCCAGCAUCACCAGGAAGAUCAGGGGUGGUUUUCCUCCACAGCCCAGGGCUGAUGGUAAAAGGGAUGGUCAGAGCCAGGCUCAUUAAUAUUCAUUUCCCACCCCAUGAGGUAAUAGAGGCCAGGUAGCAGUACAUGACCACCAGAAACCGGGAGGCUGCAAUGACUGUGAUGAGCAGCAAGAUGCGAGAAGAGACCAGCAAGGAAUUGUGGAGAUGGUCAUUAGAGUGUGGGCACCCAGUAGCGGUGCAGCUUAACAUCCACAACAAGCAAGAGGUAAGAAUGGAAGAGCGGAAAGCCAAGGGACGUUGACCAAAGAAAGUCAUGACCCUUUCCUCAAUUCCUGAACCAGAGUCUCUUUCAGAUCCGGAACCCCUUAACUGAAGGGUAGCCAUGUCGCUAGGGAGAAGGAUCCGGAAACACCACAGCAAAUGUGUACUGUAAUGACUCCCCCAGUCCUUCCUUAAAGAGACGCAUGGCC
Molecule: long non-coding RNA, 1347 nt
Filed under: Equus caballus (horse)
Lineage: Eukaryota; Metazoa; Chordata; Mammalia; Perissodactyla; Equidae
Description: lncRNA (ENSECAG00000055976.1)
Source: RNAcentral